Non-coding RNA from Suillus subluteus, 105 nucleotides. Lineage: Eukaryota; Fungi; Basidiomycota; Agaricomycetes; Boletales; Suillaceae. The record is from the annotation of a GenBank genome assembly.
GCCCUGAUGGCUCAGUUGGUUAGAGCGCAGGUCUCAUACUACCUGUAUGACCGGUAUCGUUACUGGGCAAUCCUGAGGUCGCAAGUUCGAACCUUGCUCAGGGCA